UUGUUCGUGCGGAUAAACGAA
Molecule: non-coding RNA, 21 nt
Filed under: Caenorhabditis elegans
Lineage: Eukaryota; Metazoa; Nematoda; Chromadorea; Rhabditida; Rhabditidae
Source: RNAcentral